CAAUGAUAAAAUGAAAAUGACAUAACGCCCUUCUGCAAAGACACCAAUGCCCUCCUUUAUCUAUUCGUUCUAUGUGUCUGUUUUCUCUGUCCUCCUCUCCCUCUCAAAUCCAACAUCCUAUGUAUCAAUAUUUAUUCUCCGUUGCUGCUUUUCGGGUUGAAGGAGGUGAAGUGGAAAGAGAUAGGGCUUGGUUACAUAUACUGCGACUGGUUAUUGUUGCAUCAGUGUUUUUUCUCUCCCUCCGUGCUUUGCGGUUUCUGUAUUUUCCAACGUUUAAGGCAUUGUUGUCUAAUCUAUGUCGGUCAAUUUGCUACAUGUGAGGAGCCCAUUUGCAAACCCUAGGUCACUGGAGUUUGCACGCUAGAAGAGAAGUUGAGUGAGUGUUGGAUUGUGUCUGAACUCUGAACUUUGGUUGAGGGGAGUUUAGUUGUAAGAAGCCAAAACGACGCGGUUUUGCGGUCAAUACCCACGUUUUAGUAUCAUUUGGGAUUGCAACUUGAGUGGAUUACACGGUUUGAGAUCACUGGAGUUUGCACGCUAGAAGAGAAGUUGAGUGUGUGUUGGAUUGUGUCUGAACUCUGAACUUUGUGUGAGGGGAGUUUAGUUGUAAGAAGCCAAAACGUUUAGCGGAUUUUGAAGAAGGAAGAUGUGUGCACAUGCCACAUCAUCAACGUGCACCAAUGGUGUACUAGCAAGAAGUUCAUAUAGAUCCUUGUAACC
Molecule: long non-coding RNA, 720 nt
Organism: Cornus florida
Lineage: Eukaryota; Viridiplantae; Streptophyta; Magnoliopsida; Cornales; Cornaceae
Exons: 5
Source: RefSeq, a predicted model, not a curated record